AAGUCGUAACAAGGUAUCCGUAGGUGAACCUGCGGAUGGAUCAUUAUCAAAACGUUAUCCACGUAUAAACCAAUCUUAUCGUGAACUGUUUGUAUGCCUUUCGAAGUAGAGGAGGAACGGGGCCUUUCGGGGACUUUACUACUCUUUGAAACGAAAGCGUAUAAUUACUUCAUAACAACAUUAACCAAUUGAACCAUUUCUAAAUGAAAUUGUUUUUUAUCUUCUUUGUGUGAACUGAAUUGUUUCUUACUCGUAAUUCAUUUUAUGAGAAGAAAUCUAUUUACGAAACAAAGUAAAAAAGAACAACUCUUAGCAACGGAUAUCUUGGUUCUC
Molecule: unclassified non-coding RNA, 333 nt
Filed under: fungal sp.
Lineage: Eukaryota; Fungi
Description: partial internal transcribed spacer region
Rfam family: Eukaryotic small subunit ribosomal RNA (bases 1-46)
Source: RNAcentral